UGAAGGACACCUGAAGGAUGUUGGACAUCCAGAACCCAACACGAGUGUGCACACAAAUUUUGGUGUUGGGACAUUGGAAGACCUUGAUCCAAUUGUUGAGGGAAAUCACGAAGGAUCAAAAGGGUUUUUGGAGGAGACUGGUCAUGAUGAUGAUGAUGGUGAUGGCGAUGAUGAUGUUUACAAGAAUAAUGAAAGCAGGGAUUAGGGGGAGUGUUAAGAUUUAGUUAAUUAGUUUAAUUAAAGGGAAAUCCUAGCUUUUCCCAACUGAUGUGCGGUUUCUUCCCCGAUGGGUCACGUCCUAAUGUAACGGACGCGUCCUUCUAAUCUUGCCUUUUGUAAGCGUCGCGACUGUGCGACGUGUCCCCUCCGGACAUAUAAAUAUGUACAUCAGCAGUCAAUCAAUAGAGAUCAUUUUACUGUUCACGCA
Molecule: long non-coding RNA, 427 nt
Organism: Triticum aestivum (bread wheat)
Lineage: Eukaryota; Viridiplantae; Streptophyta; Magnoliopsida; Poales; Poaceae
Exons: 2
Source: RefSeq, a predicted model, not a curated record